GCAGAAGCAGGGACGGAGGGAGCUUUUUCUCACUCUGGUGCCAGUCCCCUGGACUGCACCAAACUGUCCUUUUUAAUUCUUCCCUGCCUGCAUUUUCUUGUCGUAGCACGUUACUGAGGCACAGGCAACCAUGAAACCGAACAGAAGGCGUUCUGACAACACGCUGCGCAGUUUGCACAUGAAGCACGUGGCCCCUCAGGAUUAUACGAGUAACACCUACUGUAGCUGUUACUAGCUAAGGCAAGGCACCCAGCACCAAAAAACACCAAGGAGGGGUGUGUUUGCCUUUGCAGUGCCUUGCCCUGGACCUUGCCCAUGGCCGCCCAGGAACCCUGCGAACUGCCAGACAGCCCAGGUGUCCCACCUGGCCAUUCUGGACCUUGCUGCCCUGUCAGGGGACCGCUGAGGUGCUUUGUCCUUGGCUUUGGGCUGAGCAUUCAGGGAGAAGAGGAGGAGGUACAAGAAGCAAGAGGGUGCUGUCAAGUUGCUGUCAACCUAGAAUACACAGCUCUUGCUCACUCCUCAGUACAUUGAAAAGACUUGAAACAUCUUUUCCUAAUAUCCCCAGUUUACCUAAGCAACCCGUUGCUUCACAGUUAGAGGGUUUCCUUUUCCCACCACAAUGCCGUAAACAUGACGGACCAGCAGAUUUCCUCUGUUCCUCUGGAGAAACUGUCCCUAAGCAGCUUCAGCCACAAAAAGAGACGGAAAUUUUGCAUGUGGACAGCAGGGAGAGAGAGGCUUCUCUGGCCCCACAGCCUGAAAGCACAUAAAGGCUACUGCGGCACCUGACAGCAAUGGCCCAAGCCAACAUAUUGCUGAGUGACUAUUAGCCAGCCUAUGCUGCCUCAGUCAAAGCCCAGCUAUAGGGGAUAUGCUGCUCACUGCCAUGUGUAAAUGUCACCAUAUGGCAUCAUCACGUGGUGUGUAGGCAUCUGCACGGGGCUUCGUUGAGUAGAAAACUUUUCCAGCACCUGAACAGCAGAUUAUCAGGUAGAUAGACCCUGGAUGUAUCUUCUUCAGCUGCACCAUGACAUCAAAUCCUGCCAGCUGGGACUGUCUAGUGACUUUUCCACAUGUUCAGUGCUAAAAUGAAAUGUAAAUGUUGUGAGGGAACAUGGGUUUCUUAUCUGAAGUUAUGGCUAGAAGGCAAAUCUGAUUAAAG
This 1165-nucleotide long non-coding RNA is filed under the name Anser brachyrhynchus (Pink-footed goose). RNAcentral describes it as "lncRNA (ENSABRG00000021182.1)". The record is from RNAcentral. Lineage: Eukaryota; Metazoa; Chordata; Aves; Anseriformes; Anatidae.